Molecule: ribosomal RNA, 484 nt
Filed under: uncultured bacterium
Lineage: Bacteria
Description: partial 16S ribosomal RNA
Rfam family: Bacterial small subunit ribosomal RNA
Source: RNAcentral
AUUGAACGCUGGCGGCAGGCCUAACACAUGCAAGUCGAGCGGAUGAAGGGAGCUUGCUCCUGGAUUCAGCGGCGGACGGGUGAGUAAUGCCUAGGAAUCUGCCUGGUAGUGGGGGAUAACGUCCGGAAACGGGCGCUAAUACCGCAUACGUCCUGAGGUAGAAAGUGGGGGAUCUUCGGACCUCACGCUAUCAGAUGAGCCUAGGUCGGAUUAGCUAGUUGGUGGGGUAAAGGCCUACCAAGGCGACGAUCCGUAACUGGUCUGAGAGGAUGAUCAGUCACACUGGAACUGAGACACGGUCCAGACUCCUACGGGAGGCAGCAGUGGGGAAUAUUGGACAAUGGGCGAAAGCCUGAUCCAGCCAUGCCGCGUGUGUGAAGAAGGUCUUCGGAUUGUAAAGCACUUUAAGUUGGGAGGAAGGGCAGUAAGUUAAUACCUUGCUGUUUUGACGGUACCAACAGAAUAAGCACCGGCUAACUUCGUG